AGUAAACUGAUGGCAUUGGACUGCUCUGCUUUGCUUUGCUUGGAAUGGAAGGCAGAUGCACCGCUUGAGUAUGCUCCAUAAUGGGGAAUAAGCAGACAGAUUGGUUUCCUCCACAUUCAUUUUUUACUUGCACAGACGCAAACUCCACUGAAGCUGGGGGAAUUAUUGACAGCUGAUACUGAGGCAAUCCAAGGCCAGACUCUGACCUAUUGAUUUCCCUGAGAUUGCACAGGACAUAUGCAGUUCAUUGCAGAAUACAGCCUUUGUUUGUUUUGUUUAUUACUCAGUAUAUAGCAAUGUGGAAUAAAGAACAACGCUGGACUGCAGGAAUGCCUGAGGACUUCUCUUUAAUUGAAAUCAGGACUGGGAACAUCCUUGUAAAUCAAGAGCAGUCAGCCUUUGAGAAAACUCACUGCUUUUGCAAAGUUUACUUUCAAAGGGGAUUUAGCUUUAACUCUUUGUCUCUCACACUGCCUUGGCUAAGUCAUUGUUAACAGUUUCCCUAAGUGUCUACGUGCUGCUCAGUAGUCACUUCCAGGCACAACAAGUGAUGGGCAGGAUUCUUAAUUAUACUAAAACUAUGAAUAGUGGUUGAGAAAAAAAAGCAAACCAAACAAAAUAACAAGCACAUGGAAUUAUUAAAGGUAUGUCUGGUAUUGGUCCAAAUCCAUAUUUUGAAAACCCUAUGAAACCCUAGGGUUUCAGUUAAGUUCAUUAAGAAGCUACGGGUUCUCCUUGGAAAAUUAUGACCUAGACCUGAGUUUUACUGAAGUUUGAUGAUGCUUUAGAUCAGUUUUUAAUUCCCAGCCCUGUAAUUGCCAUGCAGUGUGCAGGCAACAGACAGCACUUAACUCCACCAGCAAUUUGGCUUUACCUCCAGCCCUCCCUGAAUGUGUUUCAGCCCCUGAUAAAUGGGUGCCAACCACAGUAAGCAGAAGAAACAUCUCAGCUCUGGUGUCCUAAUUAAAGUCCCCUUGUUUCCCACAUUGGAGCUCCCUGUGUGUUACGAAACGUCCAAACAAGAGUGUUUCUGCUUAAAUAAAGAUUUCACAAUGGGACUUUCCUUCUUCAGCUGUAUUUUUCCAAACUCACAUUUUCAGUGCAUUUAUUGGAUUGAGAUGUCUUGUAAUUAUUUAUAACAAAAGGGUUAGUCCUUCUAGCCUGUUUAAGAUGGCCAGCAUGAUGAACACUAAGUUAGCAGCAGGCUGCAAGUGGAUCAGGCUAUUAAGAUUAAUGCAACAAAUUUGAAUUCUUCCAUCCCCUCUCUUCAGUAACCCAUCUCUGUGUGUGUGUGUGUGUGUGUGUGUGGCUGGGAAGGAAAAGAAAGGGCUCCUGUGCUCCAGGAUAAUAGUGAAUGCUGAUGAAGAGGAAAAAGGAAAACACUGUUUAUCCCUAGCAGGAAGAUAAUUGAUCUAUAGUCUGCACACAACUGGUCUCAAAGCAGCCGGUAGCUACACAGAAGAGACCAUAGCUAACCAGAGCCCAAACUAGGCUGUCAAACAAAAGCUUUAUAGGGACACCAGGGAGAACAAAAGUAGCACAUUUCAUUCCUUCAUAAUAAAUCUUCCAUCUUUAUUGUGCAGAGAUGUUUUGCUCCCGAGCAUGCCAUGUUUCAGAGUGGGGCCCACCCCCACCACCCCCACGGACCCUGAGCAUCCAGCCUGAGCCGAGCUGCUUCAUCAGGCUUUGGGGUUUAUUUUUGCUGUGCACAGCCAGGCCCAGCUGUUCCCUGCAUCCUCAGACAGCAGCAGCUCUUGGGCUCCAGCUCUACCACUCUCUGGUUUAUGUGUACUAAAGGUAAUAAAAUAACCAUUUCUAAAUUUAACUAGCAUUGCAUAAUGCAGCUAUUUAUUAUGUAAAGCUGCUGUUUACAAUGCCCAAAAUAUUGAUCACUGUAAAAAAUGCAGUGCAGCUAGAGCUCAUAUAAAUUAAUGCUACUGUUUUCCUUUCUUUUUGUUUAAAGGAUCAAUCAAAGGUCUAAUUUGUUCUUGUGAAUUCACCUCUGCAAAGCAGGCAGAGUACCAGGCAGCGCAUUGUUUACUGUCAUUCGGGCUCACGUGCAGCACUCAGCUCAGAAUCUGGCAGAGGAUAUGUAAAGAUGACAAUUUGUUCAUUAUCUGAACCAGUGGAAAAGGCAAAUAAAGCACACUAACCUGCUCUAUUUCAAA
Molecule: long non-coding RNA, 2168 nt
Organism: Pogoniulus pusillus (Red-fronted tinkerbird)
Lineage: Eukaryota; Metazoa; Chordata; Aves; Piciformes; Lybiidae
Exons: 2
Source: RefSeq, a predicted model, not a curated record